AGAGCAGAGACAUAGUGGAUAGGGGCCUGGGCUCAUAACCGAAAGGUUGUGGGUUCGAUUCCCACCUGGGCUG
This 73-nucleotide transfer RNA is filed under the name Anguilla anguilla (European eel). RNAcentral describes it as "tRNA-OTHER". Lineage: Eukaryota; Metazoa; Chordata; Actinopteri; Anguilliformes; Anguillidae. The record is from RNAcentral.